UACGUAGGGAGCAAGCGUUGUUCGGAUUUACUGGGCGUAAAGGGCGCGUAGGCGGCCUGCUAAGUCGAACGUGAAAUCCCCGGGCUCAACCCGGGAACUGCGUCCGAUACUGGAAGGCUUGAAUCCGGGAGAGGGAUGCGGAAUUCCAGGUGUAGCGGUGAAAUGCGUAGAUAUCUGGAGGAACACCGGUGGCGAAGGCGGCAUCCUGGACCGGCAUUGACGCUGAGGCGCGAAAGCCAGGGGAGCAAACGGG
This 253-nucleotide ribosomal RNA is filed under the name uncultured bacterium. Its description in RNAcentral is "partial 16S ribosomal RNA". It matches the Rfam family "Bacterial small subunit ribosomal RNA", at positions 524 to 776 of the family's 1533-position model. The record is from RNAcentral.